GGUAGCGUGGCCGAGAGUCUAAGGUGCUGCAAUUAGAUUCCAGUCUCUUCGGGGCCGUGGGUUCGAAUCCCACCACUGCCA
RNAcentral lists this transfer RNA (81 nucleotides) under Danio rerio (zebrafish). It matches the Rfam family "tRNA". Rfam says of the family: Transfer RNA (tRNA) molecules are approximately 80 nucleotides in length. Lineage: Eukaryota; Metazoa; Chordata; Actinopteri; Cypriniformes; Danionidae. The record is from Rfam by way of RNAcentral.